Long non-coding RNA from Ruditapes philippinarum (Manila clam), 348 nucleotides. RefSeq lists it as uncharacterized. The record is from RefSeq and is a predicted model, not a curated record. Lineage: Eukaryota; Metazoa; Mollusca; Bivalvia; Venerida; Veneridae. The transcript is spliced from 3 exons.
UUUUAGUUGAAAAAGUAAAUGACAAUAUAGGUGCACAAAUCGAUUAUGCGUACGCCGCCCAAGGAGAUGAAACAACCGAUCAACAGUUUGCUUAUGAUGAUGAACAUGCGAAGCUUUUGAGCGCUGUCGCUGAAGCCUCGGAAAGUGACAAUAAAUGUUCACAAAUCGGUAAUGAUGGUGUAUGCCUCGGAGAUGAAACCAUCGAUCAACUUUGUGGCUCCGAUUAUGAAUAUGUAAAUGAAUCAGAAACUUCUGGAGAAACAUCACAGAAUGAACGUAAAACUACAGAAGGGGGAGUAAGAAAACGUCUUGCGUCAUUCUUUUCUUCAGCAAAGAGGCUAGUUUCAG